AACGCGAAGAACCUUACCAGGAUUUGACAUGCCCUCUAUGGAUUCCCGAAAAGGAAUCCUUCACUUCGGGUGGGAGGUGCACAGGUGCUGCAUGGCUGUCGUCAGCUCGUGUCGUGAGAUGUUGGGUUAAGUCCCGCAACGAGCGCAACCCUCGUCCCCUGUUGCCAUCAGGUCAAGCUGGGCACUCUGGGGAAACUGCCGGUGAUAAGCCGGAGGAAGGUGGGGAUGACGUCAAGUCCUCAUGGCCCUUACAUCCUGGGCUACACACGUGUUACAAUGGCGGUGACAAUGGGUCGCGAUCGCGCAAGCGCUAGCCAAUCCCAAAAAGCCGCCUCAGUUUGGAUUGUACUCUGCAACUCGAGUACAUGAAAUUGGAAUCGCUAGUAAUCGCGGAUCAGCACGCCGCGGUGAAUACGUUCCCGGGCCUUGUACACACCGCACUACUA
This 446-nucleotide ribosomal RNA is filed under the name uncultured bacterium. RNAcentral describes it as "bacterial SSU rRNA". It matches the Rfam family "Bacterial small subunit ribosomal RNA", at positions 958 to 1400 of the family's 1533-position model. The record is from RNAcentral.